UACAGAGGGUACUAGCGUUGUUCGGAAUUAUUGGGCGUAAAGAGCGCGUAGAUGGUUUUGUAAGUCAAUUGUGAAAUAUUCCAGCUUAACUGGAAUGCUGCAAUAGAUACUGCAUUACUAGAGAAUGGAAGAGGUAAGUGGAAUUUCUAGUGGAGAGGUUAAAUUCGCUGAUAUUAGAAGGAACACCAAAUGCGAAGGCAGCUUACUUGGACAUUUCUGACAUUGAGGCGCGAAAGCGUGGGGAGCGAGCAGG
This 253-nucleotide ribosomal RNA is filed under the name uncultured bacterium. Its description in RNAcentral is "partial 16S ribosomal RNA". It matches the Rfam family "Bacterial small subunit ribosomal RNA", at positions 524 to 776 of the family's 1533-position model. The record is from RNAcentral.